This 85-nucleotide transfer RNA is filed under the name Felis catus (domestic cat). It matches the Rfam family "tRNA". Rfam says of the family: Transfer RNA (tRNA) molecules are approximately 80 nucleotides in length. The record is from Rfam by way of RNAcentral. Lineage: Eukaryota; Metazoa; Chordata; Mammalia; Carnivora; Felidae.
GCCUGGGUGGCUCAGUCGGUUAAGCGUCUGACUUCAGCUCAGGUCAUGAUCUCAUGGUUCGUGGGUUCGAGCCCCACAUCGGGCU